GACGAACGCUGGCGGCGUGCUUAACACAUGCAAGUCGAACGGAAAGGCCCUGCUUGCAGGGUACUCGAGUGGCGAACGGGUGAGUAACACGUGGGUGAUCUGCCCUGCACUUCGGGAUAAGCCUGGGAAACUGGGUCUAAUACCGGAUAGGAGCCAUUUUUAGUGUGAUGGUUGGAAAGUUUUUUCGGUGUAGGAUGAGCUCGCGGCCUAUCAGCUUGUUGGUGGGGUAAUGGCCUACCAAGGCGGCGACGGGUAGCCGGCCUGAGAGGGUGGACGGCCACGUGGCGACGGAGAGGCGGCCGAGACCGCGGGGGGGAGGAGCAGGUGGAAGUGUGGCGCGGGGGGAGCAGAGCCGAGGCGGCGGCGCGGCGUGGGGGAUGCCGGCCUUCGGGUUGUAACGUCGUUACGGUAGGGGCUGAGUUUUGUGUGACGGUACCUAGAUAAGAACCACCGGCUAACUCCGUUCCAGCCGCCGCGGUAAUAUUGGGACGAGCCCACGUCGGCAC
This 506-nucleotide ribosomal RNA is filed under the name uncultured bacterium. Its description in RNAcentral is "partial 16S ribosomal RNA". It matches the Rfam family "Bacterial small subunit ribosomal RNA", at positions 35 to 539 of the family's 1533-position model. The record is from RNAcentral.